This is a long non-coding RNA of Capsicum annuum, 1773 nucleotides long. RefSeq lists it as uncharacterized. Lineage: Eukaryota; Viridiplantae; Streptophyta; Magnoliopsida; Solanales; Solanaceae. The transcript has 3 exons. The record is from RefSeq and is a predicted model, not a curated record.
AGCUGGUCGGACUGCCACUCUAUAGAACUUACCUUUAAGUUUCGGGGCACCUUCUUAUCACAUAAAACACCCGAAACGAGCCUCCAUUUCAACCACCCUGCCCCAAUAUGAUGCGCGACAUCCUCGUCAAUUUCUCUAUUGCCUUGAAUCAUAGACCCCAGAUACUUGAAACUCUCCCUCUUCUGAAUGACCUGAGAGUCCAGCUUCACAACCACGUCAGCCUCCUGCGACACAUAGCUAAACUUACACUUCAAGUACUCCGUGUUGGUCCUACUCAAAUGAGAAAUCCUUUAGACUCAAGGGUCUGUCUCCAAAAUCUCCAACUUAUCAUUAACUCCUCCCCGAGUCUCGUCAAUCAAUACCACAUCACCAGCAACUAACACACACCAAGGCACCCCUUAAAUAUGUCGCGUCAAAACAUUAAGAGUCGAUCCCUGGUGCGACCUUAUCAAAAUUUGAAAAUGCUUUGAAUCUCCACCUACCGUCCUCACAUGAAUCUUCGCGCCAUCAUACAUGUGCUGAAUCGACCUAACGUAUGUCACGGGCACCCUCUAGCCUCCAAGCACCUCCACAAAAUCUCUUGGGAACUCUGUCAUAUGCCUUCUCAAGUUCAAUAAACACCAUGUGCAAGUCCUCUUCCUCUCCCGAAAUCGAAAUAGCUGCGAACGUAAAACAACGGUUUUUGAGACACCACACUAAAAUUUUGAAUACCAUCGGUUUACAGAGAUUUUAGCGGUGAUAUACUGUAUAACUGCCGUUUGUGUUUCAAAUAUUAUUUUAUUUCUCCCUCAGUGUAUUCAGAAUUCCCACUCACAAUUUGGUCUCCCUUCAAAAAUUUAGAACUCCAUUGUUCCCUCGUAUCUCUCUGUAUGUAGCGCUUCGGGUUCUCACUUCUCAGGACCACAGAACUAUUCCCAUAUUUGGAAAAAACUUUGAAAUGAACAGGCAGAAUAUUAUGGCUUGAAUUUGUACGUUAGCUGUUUCACCAGGAGUAUUUAAGCAACAUGCUUUGGCUAACAUAAAAAUGAGGAAGCAUGCUAAUGUCUGCAGGGUCCUCUAAAUACUUCCGGGACCAAGCAAGAUAUCUCCUCUGCCAGCUGAAUGAUCCACCAGUCUUGCAUAUUUAUUGGAGCAAAAUGAACUAGCUGACAAUUUUAGCAACUAUGGGGGUGCACAUAAGGAAGAAGGAAGUCAAACUGCGAGUGUUUAGGUGGGUACAUGAUACGAGUACGAUCACGAGGAUGGACGAGAACGAGUGCGUAGCACAAGUGAAGUGUAAAAGAGGGCCUAAAUGCACUAAAAACAGCCCCUAAGUUACACUUUAUGGGCACCUCACCCUUGAGGGGUAUUGUGGUCAUUUUGUAUUCUAUUUUGUAAUACACUAUAUAUAGAACCUCUUAGGGUUUUUAGUUUUAGUUUUUGUUGAUUAUGAAAGUGUAACAUUUAGAAACAUCUCUCUAGAGAGAAUGACCCUCCUUGGCCGAAAUUGUAACUAGGGAAAUCAACUUGAGUGUGGAAUCACUCGUGUUGGAUUCAAGCUUGGAAACGUUGGAUGCUUGGGAGAUCGAGGUCACUCUUGUGCCAACGUAGGAGUUAGGUAUUCGUUGUGUGUAUUGUUAAAGGUCCAAGAGUGGAAUAGGCUCUUGAGUUUUUAAGAUUACACCUUCAUUUUGUCUAACUAUCUAUCCUCUUGUUUGUUGUAAUCGUUGUUUCUUGUUUUUGUUAAUGUAACCCGUGAAGUGUUGUUAUUGUUACCACUUUGUUGUUGUGCAU